AGAGUUUGAUCCUGGCUCAGAACGAACGCUGGCGGCGUGCUUAACACAUGCAAGUCGAACGAGAAAACUUUGGCUUGCCAAAGUGAGUAAAGUGGCGCACGGGUGAGUAACACGUGGGUAAUCUACCUCUAAGUUAGGGAUAACACUACGAAAGUGGUGCUAAUACCGAAUAAGCUCACAGCUUCUGAUGAAGCAAUGAGAAAAGGUGGCCUCUGAUAUAAGCUAUCGCUUGGAGAUGAGCCCGCGCACCAUUAGCUUGUUGGUUGGGUAAUGGCCUACCAAGGCUACGAUGGUUAGCUGGCCUGAGAGGGCGGUCAGCCACACUGGAACUGAGAUACGGUCCAGACUCCUACGGGAGGCAGCAGUGGGGAAUAUUGCGCAAUGGGGGAAACCCUGACGCAGCGACGCCGUGUGAGUGAUGAAGGCCUUCGGGUCGUAAAGCUCUGUCAGACGGGAAGAAUAAGGGCAGUGAGAGUAUUUCUGUCCGAUGACGGUACCGUCAGAGGAAGCACCGGCUAACUCCGUGCCAGCAGCCGCGGUAAUACGGAGGGUGCAAGCGUUGUUCGGAAUUAUUGGGCGUAAAGCGCGUGUAGGCGGAUAUGUAGGUCAGAUGUGAAAUCCCUUGGCUCAACUAAGGAAGUGCAUCUGAAACCAUAUAUCUUGAGUACGACAGAGGAGAGUGGAAUUCCCAGUGUAGAGGUGAAAUUCAUAGAUAUUGGGAAGAACACCAGUGGCGAAGGCGUCUCUCUGGGUCGAUACUGACGCUGAGACGCGAAAGCGUGGGGAGCAAACAGGAUUAGAUACCCUGGUAGUCCACGCCGUAAACGAUGUGCACUAGGUGUUGGAAGUAAUUAAACUUUCAGUGCCGCAGCUAACGCAUUAAGUGCACCGCCUGGGGAUUACGGCCGCAAGGCUAAAACUCAAAGGAAUUGGCGGGGGCCCGCACAAGCGGUGGAGUAUGUGGUUUAAUUCGACGCAACGCGCAAAACCUUACCUGGGCUUGACAUCCCGUUCGUAUCCACUGGAAACAGAGGAGUCAGUUCGGCUGGAACGGUGACAGGUGCUGCAUGGCUGUCGUCAGCUCGUGUCGUGAGAUGUUGGGUUAAGUCCCGCAACGAGCGCAACCCUUACUAUUAGUUGCCAUCUAUUAAAGUAGGGCACUCUAAUGGAACUGCCUCGGUUAACGGGGAGGAAGGUGGGGACGACGUCAAGUCCUCAUGGCCUUUAUGCCCAGGGCUACACACGUACUACAAUGGCUAGUACAAAGGGCAGCGAACUCGCAAGGGUAAGCAAAUCCCAAAAAACUGGUCUUAGUUCGGAUUGGAGUCUGCAACUCGAUUCCAUGAAGUCGGAAUCGCUAGUAAUCGCGAAUCAGCAUGUCGCGGUUAAUACGUUCUCGGGCCUUGUACACACCGCCCGUCACACCACGAAAGUCGGCUGUACUAGAUGUCGUUGAGCUAAUCCUGAUAAAGGAAGGCAAACGCCGACGGUAUAGUUGGUAAUUGGGGUGAAGUCGUAACAAGGUA
Molecule: ribosomal RNA, 1526 nt
Filed under: metagenome
Description: bacterial SSU rRNA
Rfam family: Bacterial small subunit ribosomal RNA
Source: RNAcentral